UAGGGAAUCUUCGGCAAUGGACGAAAGUCUGACCGAGCAACGCCGCGUGAGUGAAGAAGGUUUUCGGAUCGUAAAACUCUGUUGUUAGAGAAGAACAAGGACGUUAGUAACUGAACGUCCCCUGACGGUAUCUAACCAGAAAGCCACGGCUAACUACGUGCCAGCAGCCGCGGUAAUACGUAGGUGGCAAGCGUUGUCCGGAUUUAUUGGGCGUAAAGCGAGCGCAGGCGGUUUCUUAAGUCUGAUGUGAAAGCCCCCGGCUCAACCGGGGAGGGUCACUGGAAACUGGGAGACUUGAGUGCAGAAGAGGAGAGUGGAAUUCCAUGUGUAGCGGUGAAAUGCGUAGAUAUAUGGAGGAACACCAGUGGCGAAGGCGGCGCUCUGGUCUGUAACUGACGCUGAGGCUCGAAAGCGUGGGGAGCAAACAGG
Molecule: ribosomal RNA, 429 nt
Filed under: Gemmatimonadota bacterium
Lineage: Bacteria; Pseudomonadati; Gemmatimonadota
Description: Gemmatimonadetes bacterium partial 16S ribosomal RNA
Rfam family: Bacterial small subunit ribosomal RNA
Source: RNAcentral